AGUAUAUAUGUAAUGCCGAAGAGAGGUUAGGGUUUCUUUAGGUUUCCGUACUUUCCUGUUGAGCACUGCGGCGCAACUCGCCUUGCUGCGGUUGGUGGUGGCGAUGGAGAUUGCAGCGCGGCUGAAGGGAACCUACUGGGUUGGUGACAUUUACAAGAGAGUCUUGAAGAUUUUCCAGAACGGGAAAGAUUUUGGAAGAACAAAGAGGAACUACAGAAUCAUUGCUUACAUUGACACAAUUGAAUGGGAAGCCAUCAUUCUUUAAAGGGCAAUGACCAAGCAGUACCAGCAGAAAUUGAAGUACCAGCAGAAGGCUAAGAAGGGAUCAUGGCACAAGUUGCAGUUUCCACCCUGCCCAUUGAAGAUGAGGAGUCCAUGGAAGAUGAGGAGUCUGUUGAAGACGAGGAGUCCGUUGAAGAUGAGUCCGCGGAGAGCAGGAUGCUGGUGACAUUGCUCAUAUCAGCUCUUGAGUCCACGGGAGCUUACAGCUUCAUUGCACCAUGUGUGGCAUUUGGGUCCUGUUUGGCAGCAAUGACUGCCUUUCUGUUUAGUGUCUGUGUGCUAUGAAGAUUGCAAACGGGGUCCAGAUGCAUUCUGUUUUGAGAAUGUCAAUGGAUACACUAGCUGCUGCUUUGGAUUUCACCGGUUGGUGGUAGUUGACCCGCUGUUUGGAAUGCAGCCAAUUUAAGUGAAGAAAUAUCCAUACACGUGGCUCUGUUACAAUGGUGAAAUCUACAACCAUAAGAAGGUGCAACACUAUUUUGAAUUUGAAUACCAGACCAAAGUGGAUGGUGAGAUAAUCCUUCGUCUUUAUGACAAAGGAGGAAUUGAGCAAACAAUUUGUGUGUUGGAUGGUGUGUUUGCAUUUGUUUUACUGGAUUCUGCCAAUAAGAAAGUGUUCCUGGGCAGAGAUACAUGAGGAGUCAGACCUUCGUUUAAAGCAGUGACAGAAGAUGGAUUUUUGGCUGUAUGUUCAGAAGCUAAAGUUCUGGAGGCCACAAGUCCAAAAUCAAGGUGUGGGCAGAAAUGCGCUCCCUCUGCAGACUCUUGGGGAGGAUCCUUGCUUCUUCCAGGUCUGCGACUGUGGUUCCUGCAGCCACUGGAACCAGCUCUGCACAGCUCAGACCUGAGUGAUGAGGACACAGCUUCGCAGCAGCUCCUGAAUGUUCCGGAUGAGCUCGGCUUCCUGAGGGAGGAGACGCCCUGAGCACCAGAGCCAGUCCCUGGUGAGGAUCCCAGGAGGCCCAGCUGCUGCAGGCCUUGGUCAACACCUGAGCAACCACAAGGAGUUGAAUGCCGGGCCUGAGCUCUGACUGUGGCGGAGGCAGGUCCUGUGCUGCGGAGGCUGCCCUCAAAGCCAUUCAGGGCCAGGCUGCCUGGCGGAGGCUGGAUGGGCAGGAAGCGCCCCAGGACACAUCGGAGUCCCCCUAACCUGGGGCCAGGGGAGCCCCAGCCUAGGCGCGAUUCCCCACACGGCCAGCGGAGGGCGACGUUGGUCUGGCACUGAGAAGCCUGCGGCUCCUGGCUCGGCCUCCCCUCCGUCUGCCUGGCGCAUGCAGUCCUGGGGACCCCCAGCCCCUCCGGCCUCCUCUUCUCUGAGAGCCCCCCACCAGAAAGUCCUCACUAGGAAGUCCAUACCCUUCCUACAGCACAGACCUCUGGGCCCCUGUUCUCUCCACCUUCACCCCCUCUCCCACCACAGCCCACACCCUCACUCCAGCCACAGGAGCCGGAGCUCCUCCUGGGCCAUUCCCACCACCCCGCCCAGGGUCUCUCCAGCCCCACCAUGUGCCGGCCAGUGCCCUCCUCCUGGACCUGACCUCCCCCCGUCCUGGCCUCUCCCGCGGCCAGAACCCUCAGUCCAUGCUGCUGUCACCACGGUGCGCCUGGCCUGACACAGCCUCCUGAUGGGGCUUUUGAGGACAGCAGCCCGGAGACUUACCCUAACCCAGGCCGAGUCAGAACCUGUGGCAGGCGGCCUGGGAACCUCUUCUUACUGUCCAUCAAAAUUGGGAGGUCAGGGGACCUUCAGGGACUGGUGUGGUCUGAGAAACAUCCUCGAGCCUCGCCAUGACUCAGUUUCCCCAGAUGGCAGCAGGCUGGAGCCCACACGCAGGGCAGGAUGCCAGGCUCCACCUUUUGUCUGGAACCUGCAUUCACUGGGCACCUCUCUUUAGGCAGAGCAGAGCAGAGCUGCCCGUGUUUGUCCCCUGAUCUGUGGCCCCAGGAGCCCGAGAGACCACCUGAGCCAACGAGAAGGCCUCUGGGCCAGAGCCCAGCUCUGCGAAGUGGGAGACUUCUCAGCCUCCACUUCCAGGUGCCCUGAAGUCGUUGGCAGGGGGUGCUGCCUGCUUGGGGCUCCCAGACUAAGGGAACACAUUCAUGUGGUGACCACGAUAGGCCCUGCAGGCUGAGGCACAGGAUUUGACCAAGGACGCAUCAGAGAUAGGAGACUGGGCCCUCACUCCUGCCAGCUGCAAACUCCCAAAGCCCCCAGCCCUCUCAUGGGGUGAAGAUGCCCUGAAGGACACUCCAGUGUGCUCCCACCUCUGGGUUCUGCCAGCCAGAGAGUGGGACCCUCAGGCCACAUGUGUCUUGCUGGAUCUCAGCUUUAGGGACCCAUCGUGCUGGCAGCUCCCUGAGACCUGGGUCAGGGGGUGUCCAUUAGAGCACCUUGGUCAGGACCCAGAGAUGGGGAGGGCAGUUGGCAUCUCCAGAAAGCAGGAGGUGGGGCAUGGCUCUGUGACAGACGUCCCUGUGACAGGGAGGAUUGGAGGGACAGAGGGGCGUGCUCAGGGGCGGAGGGGCAGAUGAGGCCACCAAAGGGCACCUUGAACACUGGAUGGCCCCAGGAAGGCCCUUGAACCCCAUCCUGAUUGAUCCAGGGCCUGUGACCUUGGCCCAGACUGCAGGCCUGGGGACUUGAGUUCCUUUAGUUUCUUAAGAAACUACUAUACUCCUUUUUGGCAUAGCUGUACGAUUUUACAUUCCCACCAGUAAUGUGUGAAAGCUCUAGUUUUUACUCAUGCUCCUCAGCGUUUGAUGUUUUAUUUUUAUUUUAGCUAUUCUGAUAUAUAUGUGUUAGUCAUUGUGGUCUUAAUUUGCAAAUUUCUAAUGACUAAUGAUAUUUAACACCUUUUCUUGUUCAUAAUUAAAUACCAUCUGUAUUCCUUUUCGCAUAUCAUCAACACAACCGUGAAAAAUCAGAACAAAAUUUUUCAGACGACUUCAAAAUUUUUAGAACAAUACUCAAGGGAAAAGGUGUUUAUUUAGAACAAUGAAAACAAUGAGACAUUAACUUCCAGGUUAAAUAAAGUUGAUUGUGUGCAU
This 3330-nucleotide long non-coding RNA is filed under the name Homo sapiens (human). RNAcentral describes it as "non-protein coding lnc-ANKRD20A8P-12:1". Lineage: Eukaryota; Metazoa; Chordata; Mammalia; Primates; Hominidae. The record is from RNAcentral.